This 292-nucleotide ribosomal RNA is filed under the name uncultured bacterium. RNAcentral describes it as "partial 16S ribosomal RNA". It matches the Rfam family "Bacterial small subunit ribosomal RNA", at positions 505 to 796 of the family's 1533-position model. The record is from RNAcentral.
GUGCCAGCCGCCGCGGUAAUACGUAGGGGGCUAGCGUUGUCCGGAAUCAUUGGGCGUAAAGAGCGUGUAGGCGGCCCGGUAAGUCCGCUGUGAAAGUCGGGGGCUCAACCCUCGAAUGCCGGUGGAUACUGUCGGGCUAGAGUGCGGAAGAGGCGAGUGGAAUUCCUGGUGUAGCGGUGAAAUGCGCAGAUAUCAGGAGGAACACCGAUUGCGAAGGCAGCUCGCUGGGACGUAACUGACGCUGAGACGCGAAAGCGUGGGGAGCAAACAGGAUUAGAAACCCUUGUAGUCC